UUCUUUCUGGCAGAAAAAUGCAAUAAAUUUAGAAUUUAUGGAUACUUGUUUGAGUGAAAGAAA
This 63-nucleotide transfer RNA is filed under the name Capillaria sp. cat-2018. RNAcentral describes it as "tRNA-Leu". The record is from RNAcentral. Lineage: Eukaryota; Metazoa; Nematoda; Enoplea; Trichinellida; Capillariidae.